This 138-nucleotide ribosomal RNA is filed under the name uncultured bacterium. RNAcentral describes it as "partial 16S ribosomal RNA". It matches the Rfam family "Bacterial small subunit ribosomal RNA", at positions 355 to 509 of the family's 1533-position model. The record is from RNAcentral.
UGGGGAAUAUUGCACAAUGGGGGAAACCCUGAUGCAGCGACGCCGCGUGAGUGAAGAAGUAUUUCGGUAUGUAAAGCUCUAUCAGCAGGGAAGAAGCAAGACGGUACCUGACUAAGAAGCCCCGGCUAACUACGUGCC